RNAcentral lists this long non-coding RNA (603 nucleotides) under Hordeum vulgare. RNAcentral describes it as "long non-coding RNA (HVUL_LNC020896)". Lineage: Eukaryota; Viridiplantae; Streptophyta; Magnoliopsida; Poales; Poaceae. The record is from RNAcentral.
GGAAUCCCUGGUUGUUAGGUAGGAAGGUACGGUCAAUUUUCCAGCUAAUCAGGGGUGCAACCGGCUAUAAAAGGGGCAUUGCAGUUGUGUGUGAGGCGGCAGAAGGAACAGUGUAUUUUUGUUCGACGACAUGGACAGAUGUGAUGGAUCAGAGUUUCUAGGCGACGAGAAGAAUCAACACAUCACUAUUUAUCUACAGUAUGUGUGGUAUUAAUCUGAGAUGUACUGCUAGUUGUGUGUUUAUUCUGAUUAGCAUUCUCGGUCUUUUUUUUGCAGACAGUACAACCGUAUGCUGGAAUUAAUUGACAGGAUCGACUCUAUGAUCUCCAUCACUGAGAGGCAUGGGCGCUUAAUUGCUGCCAUCCAGCGACGCAUGAACGAACAACCAGAUGGUGCUCAUAACGGAGGGAGGCGGUGCACGGCUUGUGGCGGGACGGGCCACAACAGGAUUACUUGUGGACAUCAUUCUCGAUCGAAGACGAAGUAGAAGUCAAUUAGAUUCCAUGUAGUUUUGCUGAUUUUGUGGCAAAUAGAUGGCGUGCAAUCUUACAUUUUUUACCCUUCACUGUCGAACAUGUAUUCACCGCAAAAAUGGAAGAGAAU